AUGAUAACUCAAGCUCGUCGUCUUUAUGCUAUUUACAGAAAUAACAAAGCAGAUUUUGGGACAAAGUUCACCUCCUUUGAAGCAAUAAAACCUCAAUUUCGGAAAAUGAACAUGGGAGUGGGUAAAAAGCAUGGUUUGGAUACCAUGUGCAGUAAGAAGGGCUCUCAUCAUUUCUACCAAAACACCCUGUCAAGCCUCUGCUCUGCCUAUACUCAUAGAAACCAAUAUCAUGACAACGGAUGUGCAAGUGAAGGACUUCUAUAUGAAUUUUAUACAGAGGCACAAGAUCUUUUUAUAGGGGAAGCAUAUGGAGCAGAGUUUAGACUUAAAAGCCCACUGAUUCUACUUGGAAGCAAAAAUGGACAGCGAAGGUUCUUAGUUAAAAACACAAUUCUCAAAACAAGACAACUACCAGAAUUUAUUCAUUCUGGAGGAUUAAAAACAUCAUAUGCACAGAAGAAAUUAUGCCAGUGA
Molecule: long non-coding RNA, 474 nt
Filed under: Struthio camelus australis
Lineage: Eukaryota; Metazoa; Chordata; Aves; Struthioniformes; Struthionidae
Description: lncRNA (ENSSCUG00000007561.1)
Source: RNAcentral